Molecule: unclassified non-coding RNA, 249 nt
Filed under: uncultured Ascomycota
Lineage: Eukaryota; Fungi; Ascomycota
Description: sequence contains 5.8S rRNA gene
Rfam family: 5.8S ribosomal RNA (bases 1-53)
Source: RNAcentral
GAACGCACAUUGCGCCCCUUGGUAUUCCAUGGGGCAUGCCUGUUCGAGCGUCAUUUGUACCCUCAAGCUCUGCUUGGUGUUGGGUGUUUGUCCCGCUUUUCGCGUGGACUCGCCUUAAAACAAUUGGCAGCCGGCAUAUUGGCCUGGAGCGCAGCACAAUUUGCGCCUCUUGUCAUGAUUGUUGGCAUCCAUCAAGACCAUUUUUUGCUCUUGACCUCGGAUCAGGUAGGGAUACCCGCUGAACUUAAG